AUUCAUUUAAUAUAAUAAGUAUAAUUAGCUUCCAACUAAAAAGUUCAAUAAGAAAUGAAUA
Molecule: transfer RNA, 61 nt
Filed under: Mesargus serrata
Lineage: Eukaryota; Metazoa; Arthropoda; Insecta; Hemiptera; Cicadellidae
Description: tRNA-Gly
Source: RNAcentral